UACGUAGGGUGCAAGCGUUGUCCGGAAUUAUUGGGCGUAAAGAGCGUGUAGGCGGCCAGAUAAGUCCGCUGUGAAAUCUCGAGGCUCAACUUCGAGCUGUCGGUGGAAACUGUCUGGCUAGAGUCCGGAAGAGGAGAAUGGAAUUCCUGGUGUAGCGGUGAAAUGCGUAGAUAUCAGGAAGAACACCCGUGGCGAAGGCGGUUCUCUGGGACGUGACUGACGCUGAGACGCGAAAGCGUGGGGAGCGAACAGG
RNAcentral lists this ribosomal RNA (253 nucleotides) under uncultured bacterium. RNAcentral's name for it is "partial 16S ribosomal RNA". It matches the Rfam family "Bacterial small subunit ribosomal RNA", at positions 524 to 776 of the family's 1533-position model. The record is from RNAcentral.